AAAGUGCUCUCAACCAUCCAUCUCACCCUAUGUGCACCACCGCGUGGGGUUCCCUUUUGGUUUAUCCCGAGGGGGGCUCGCGUUUUCACACAAACUCGAUACAGUGUAGAAUGUCUCUUUGCGAUAACACGCAAUUAAUACAACUUUCAACAACGGAUCUCUUGGCUCUCGCAUCGAUGAAGAACGCAGCGAAAUGCGAUACGUAAUGUGAAUUGCAGAAUUCAGUGAAUCAUCGAAUCUUUGAACGCACCUUGCGCCCCUUGGCAUUCCGAGGGGCACACCCGUUUGAGUGUCGUGAAAUUCUCAAAAACCUUUCUUUUAUGAAAGGGUUUUGGACUUGGAGGCUUUUUGCUGGCUUCACCUCGAAGCGAGCUCCUCCUAAAUGAAUUAGUGGGGUCUGCUUUGCCGAUCCUUGACGUGAUAAGAUGUUACUACGUCUCGGGUUUGGCGAUGGCACCCGCUUCUAAUCGUCUCAUUGACAAUGAUGGCGUUCCGGUCACCACCGUUUCAUCGGUCGGGAGGCUUGACCCACCAAAAAAACCUUGACCUCAAAUCGGGUGAGACUACCCGCUGAACUU
RNAcentral lists this ribosomal RNA (578 nucleotides) under uncultured Russula. RNAcentral describes it as "eukaryotic LSU rRNA". The stretch from base 142 to 295 matches the Rfam family "5.8S ribosomal RNA". The record is from RNAcentral. Lineage: Eukaryota; Fungi; Basidiomycota; Agaricomycetes; Russulales; Russulaceae.